Molecule: long non-coding RNA, 1704 nt
Organism: Helianthus annuus (common sunflower)
Lineage: Eukaryota; Viridiplantae; Streptophyta; Magnoliopsida; Asterales; Asteraceae
Exons: 2
Source: RefSeq, a predicted model, not a curated record
CCCUUUCUUCUUCCCACAUGUCACCUUCUCCUUAUUUCUUUCUUUCUUUUUUUUCACAACUCCUUCAGUAUUCCAAGAAUUCAAAAUUCAAAAGCCAACACUCUUUCUCUCUCUUAAUGCCGCUCUUUCAUUUGUAAACCCUAAUUUUGGGGUAGCAAAUCGGGUGUAGCAACAUCAGUCCCCUUUGUCUCUCUCACCUUCUCUCUCUCGGGUGACUCAAGAACAUCAUCCACCUUUGUCUCUCACAUCUCACACUUGAUUCCAAAUGUUGAGCAAGUAAAGGGUGUAGCAACGUCAGUCCCCAUCAGUACCAUCUACCGUUGGAUUUCAUAUAGAUUUGUAGGCAGAUAUGUUCAACAGUGAUGAUUUGGGUUCUGAUUUGUGACUGCAUGGUUUGAUAAGUGGAGAUUCCGGUGGUGGAAGCUUUGAAGAUCGACAGUGAUAAAGGCGGUUAGGGUUCCGGCCACGAAACCGGCUUUCUGGGGUUUAAUCGUUGAUGUUCAUCAUUCAGUAACAACAUUGGUUCAUGCAUAUUUUAUAAAAUUUCAUUAAACUUGAAAACCCUAAUUUUGUUCGAUUUUACUCUGCCCAGAUUUGCUCUUUGCUUUGGAGAUACUGUUCAACAGAUCAUUCACUAUAGAAGCAUGUCCGAAUCUGAUAGGUUUAUUUACAAGCCCAUUCAAGAAUUUUACAAGCCCAUUUCUGAUAGGUUUAUUUACAAUGCUAUUUUGACACUUCUCUUUUACCUUUAUUUGAGUUUUUCGGAUUUGAUUGUUCGGUGUGCAGAUGGCGAUUUCAUCAAUGUGCGAGCGAAGGAGAUGCUUCAACUCUAUUUCAUAACGAUAGAGAGUUCGGCGAUCAGAGAUAAUGUUAUGAUGGGAACAUCAUCUGAGGUAUAGUUAUAAAAUAUACACAUGAACUGAAAGUGGGUGUCUGGAUUUGUGUUAUGGAAGUGAUUAUCUAUAUUUCAGCAAGCAUAUUCUGACAAUUAGAUAUAAGCAUAUGGGUUGUGGGUAGUGUACAUAAUUAGUAAAUAGUAAUUUAUGGUAAAACUUAACAGUGAGCCAUUUUGAACCGUUAUCGUUUCUCCCGAUUUGCUGCCCCAAACACAGAAUUAUCUGUCUAAACAGGCUAGCGAGUCAACCCGUUUAAAUUAUCUGUCUAAACGGGUAGCUUUCGAUUUGAGAAGUUUGGAAAUAGGUGGGUUCGUGGCUACAGAUGCCACUUCCUUCUGGUCUGAUUUCAGUUUCAGAGUUGCUAAGGUUUAUUGCUGAGAUUAAGGCCUGCAAAAUGAAGGAAAAAGCUUGGGAAUAAGUGUCUUUAUUAAAGUUUUGGAGGCUAUGGCUCAAUCGGAAUGACAAGGUAUAUAGAGGGGUUAUGCCUCCCCUCAAAAGAUGAUAGGUGAGAUUAAGGAAACUUCGUGCUCAUGGAUUCAAAAUAGAACCAAAUGGAGGCACAUGGAAUGGAAUGCAUGUAGCAAAAAUUUUGGUAAUCACCUGUUUGUGUAAUGCUUUAGAUCUAUUUUUGUUUUUUUUUUUGUUUUUGGUGUAUUCUUUGUAUGUUGCUGCCCUUAGCUUCUUGCUAUGGGUCAGUUUGUUGUGUUAAUAAAAGCCCAGUUAUGUCAGUAAAAGAAAAACAAAUAGUCCCUAUAGCGGGUUACGGCGAAUAUGGUUGUAAAGUAGAAGUGCUUCUUUGGUUGUGUCA